GGAAAAGGAAGUCACAAAUACUGGCAAAAGAAGAGAGCCUGGCAUAAAGAACCGCAUGGUGAACAGAGAAGGAAGUCAGAGAGCUGCGGGUGGGCCCAGAGAGCUCAGAGGCACAUUCCUGUGGGGAUACCAGAACUCACAGUGGAGUGAUGAGCUGCAAUUUUCUGGCUUCUGGAAGCAACCAUACUGAUAACAAGCCAUGG
This is a long non-coding RNA of Xenopus laevis (African clawed frog), 203 nucleotides long. RefSeq lists it as uncharacterized. NCBI's taxonomy places the organism in Eukaryota, Metazoa, Chordata, Amphibia, Anura, Pipidae. The transcript has 2 exons. The record is from RefSeq and is a predicted model, not a curated record.